AUUCUGGAGUUGCAAAUCACAAUAACUGAAAUGAAAAUUUCACUAGAAGGGCUCAAUAACCAUUUUGAACUGAGAGAAGAAAGAGUCAAUGGACUUCAAGAUAUAUUAAUUGAAAUUAUCCAGCCUAAAGAAUAGAGGGAAAAAGAAUAAAGAAAAACAAACAGAGCCUUAAAGACCUGUGGGACAACAUCAGUUGUACCAUGAUGAAUAUAAUGGAAAUCCCAGAAGGAAAGGAGACAGAGAAAGGAGCAGAAGGAAUAUUAAGAAAUAAUUGUUAAUACAUUUCCAAAUUUGCUGAAAACCAUUAAUCUGCACAUUCAAGAAGCUCAAUAAAUCUGAAGUAGGAUAAACUCAAGGAGAUCAAGACCUAGAUAAAUCAUUGUCAAACUGUUGAAAGACAAAGAGAAUCUUGACAUCACAAGAGAAAAGUGACUCAAUGUGCACAAGGGAUCGUUAGUAACAACAACAUUCUGACUUCUAAUCAGAAUCCAUGAAACCAGAAGGCAGUGGGAUAACAUACUCAAAGUGUGGAAAGGAAAAGAUUGUCAACCAGGAGUUCCGUAUCCAGCAAAACUAUCCUUCAAAAAUGAACAAGAAAUUUAGACAUUGCAAAAUAAAUAAAAUACAAAAAACACUGAAGGUAGGCCUUCAAGCUGAAAUGAAAGAGGCUAGACGGUAAUUCAAAUCCACAUGAAGCAAUAAAAUCACCAGUGAAGGAAAACAUAUAGACAAAUAUAAAAGACAACAGACGUACUGCUAUUGCACGCUUAACAGACUACAGUAUACUGUAAACAUAACUUACGUAUGCAAUGAAAAACCAAAACAUCCCUGGGACCUGCUUUAUUGAGGCAUUCGUUGUAUUGCAGUGGUCUGGAACCAAACCUGCAAUAUCUCCAAGUCCGUACAACCACCAACCCGUUUUUCCGUUCAUUCAACCAUCUUAAAGAAGUGCAGAGAGAGAUGCUUGAAAGAAUGCUCACCACGAUGGGAGGCAACUGGGAGACUUGGUUGGUGCUUUCUGCUUUUCUCUAUUGCCUGAAGUUCAUACGCAUAUGUCAGCAUUUUAAAAAAAAAACCUAAUAAA
This 1084-nucleotide long non-coding RNA is filed under the name Equus caballus (horse). Its description in RNAcentral is "lncRNA (ENSECAG00000054769.1)". The record is from RNAcentral. Lineage: Eukaryota; Metazoa; Chordata; Mammalia; Perissodactyla; Equidae.